This is a small nucleolar RNA of Diceros bicornis minor, 135 nucleotides long. RefSeq annotates it as small nucleolar RNA U109. NCBI's taxonomy places the organism in Eukaryota, Metazoa, Chordata, Mammalia, Perissodactyla, Rhinocerotidae. The transcript has a single exon. The record is from RefSeq and is a predicted model, not a curated record.
UUGCAUGCGGAGAUGUCUGCUCCCCAUUCCUUUGGGAGCAGGAAUACAUCCAUAACAUGCUACAUUAAAAAAGGAGUUCUCAGGGCUGCCAACCUUACAGUAGAGGUUGAGUAGUAGUAUAUUUCUCCUACAUAA